GGAGGAGUGCCGGAGCGGUCGAACGGGCGCGCCUGGAAAGCGUGUGUGCUUCGUAAGGAGUACCGAGGGUUCGAAUCCCUCCUCCUCCG
Molecule: transfer RNA, 89 nt
Filed under: Kiritimatiella glycovorans
Lineage: Bacteria; Pseudomonadati; Kiritimatiellota; Kiritimatiellia; Kiritimatiellales; Kiritimatiellaceae
Rfam family: tRNA
About the family: Transfer RNA (tRNA) molecules are approximately 80 nucleotides in length. Their secondary structure includes four short double-helical elements and three loops (D, anti-codon, and T loops). Further hydrogen bonds mediate the characteristic L-shaped molecular structure. tRNAs have two regions of fundamental functional importance: the anti-codon, which is responsible for specific mRNA codon recognition, and the 3' end, to which the tRNAs corresponding amino acid is attached (by aminoacyl-tRNA synthetases). tRNAs cope with the degeneracy of the genetic code in two manners: having more than one tRNA (with a specific anti-codon) for a particular amino acid; and 'wobble' base-pairing, i.e. permitting non-standard base-pairing at the 3rd anti-codon position.
Source: Rfam by way of RNAcentral